RNAcentral lists this transfer RNA (64 nucleotides) under Zeugophora sp. BMNH 840207. RNAcentral describes it as "tRNA-Phe". Lineage: Eukaryota; Metazoa; Arthropoda; Insecta; Coleoptera; Zeugophoridae. The record is from RNAcentral.
ACUUAAAUAGCUUAUAUAGAGUACAAUAUUGAAGAUAUUGAGGAAAUAAUUUUAUUUUUAAGUA